AAUCAACGCUGGCGGCGUGCCUAACACAUGCAAGUCGAACGCGAAAGGGGGCUUCGGCCCUGAGUAGAGUGGCGAACGGGUGAGUAACACGUGGGUGAUCUACCUCUGAGUGGGGGAUAACGUUCCGAAAGGAGCGCUAAUACCGCAUGACGUUCUGGGUUUGAAGACCUGGAAACCAAAGCCGGGGACCGCAAGGCCUGGCGCUUGGAGAGGAGCCCGCGCCUGAUUAGCUAGUUGGGA
RNAcentral lists this ribosomal RNA (240 nucleotides) under uncultured bacterium. RNAcentral's name for it is "partial 16S ribosomal RNA". It matches the Rfam family "Bacterial small subunit ribosomal RNA", at positions 32 to 254 of the family's 1533-position model. The record is from RNAcentral.